GAGCAGACCUAGAAGCAGACAACCCCCAGGCUCUGAUCCUGUUGCCAUGCGGCCGUUUCCCGGGCAACCCGUUCCCAGUGGCUCGUGAUGGAGCAGUAAAACGGUUUCCAAGCAUCCUGUGCCAAGCCAGGUAUUUCUAAUUUGCCCCUGUGCCCCGUGGGCUCAAGGAGCUGCAGUGCGCUGGCUGUGAAACGUAGGUGUGACAUGGCAGAUGGAAGGAGCUGUGGGAGACUAGGUGAAUCUUUCAGUCCUACGGCGAGUCCCCUGGGCUGCAAGUGGAAAGUGACCACGUAUCUCUCAGUGGCAGGGUAAUAACACAAGAACAGAUCCACCCAGGGCUGAGACCGAACAGUACAGGAAGAACAAAUUGGAGAAAGAGGCAUCACAUAACACCAAUGCUCAGUGGCUAGACCACAGCAAUCUCCCAGAACAAGAUCCACUAACCAUUACAAUGGCAGACUUCCAAGAAAGAGUGAAAGGUAUGAAGAUCGGGACAGCACCAGAACUCUGACAUGACUAUGACCAUCCACACCUACUGGCUGAAGAAACUAACUGCACUCCAUGAACACCUGGCAGCACAAAUGAACCAAGUGCUGAUGGAUGGGACCCACCCAGAAUGGUUAACCCAAGGACAGACGGUCCUGAUCAUGAAGGAUCCCCAGAAGGGAACGAUUCCAUUCAACGACCGGCCAAUAACCUGCCUCUGCACAACAUGGAAGCUCUGGUAGAGGACCCGAGCUUGAGGAUGACACAUACCACCACACAGGGGGUCAGAGGCAGAAUUUUUACACAGUAUAUCUACUGUAUCUAUCUAGCUACAAAGCCUUAUAGUCCACCCAUAACUAAUUCCAGUUCAGCGAUUGGAAACAAGUUGUAGUAGUAGAUAAUUAGUACAAGUACUAAUAGUCAUUAUUUUAUCCACAUGCACUUCAUUGCCACAGCCUUAUUAUUAGAGUAGGAAUAACUACAGUAGAAAAAUUAACUGACACAUCAAGGUGUGUAGAAUUACACAUGUAUGUUUAUUAUUUUUUGCUCCUACAUUAUGCAUUAAUUUACUUAGUUUGGAUCCAGGUAUUUAUCAUGCAUUUAUUUUCAGAAUAAGGCCAGUACACACACACACACACACACACACACACACACACACACACACACACACACACACACACAUAUAGACAAACAG
Molecule: long non-coding RNA, 1180 nt
Organism: Siniperca chuatsi (mandarin fish)
Lineage: Eukaryota; Metazoa; Chordata; Actinopteri; Centrarchiformes; Sinipercidae
Exons: 3
Source: RefSeq, a predicted model, not a curated record